RNAcentral lists this transfer RNA (91 nucleotides) under Caudoviricetes sp. RNAcentral's name for it is "tRNA-Ser". It matches the Rfam family "tRNA". Rfam says of the family: Transfer RNA (tRNA) molecules are approximately 80 nucleotides in length. Their secondary structure includes four short double-helical elements and three loops (D, anti-codon, and T loops). Lineage: Duplodnaviria; Heunggongvirae; Uroviricota; Caudoviricetes. The record is from RNAcentral.
GCUCGUUUAACCCUAAUCUGGUAAGGGGGCUGUCUUGAAAACAGCCAGUAGCCAUUGACUUGGUGUGUAGGUUCAAAUCCUACAGCGAGCG